AUUGAACGCUGGCGGCAUGCCUUACACAUGCAAGUCGAACGGCAGCGCGGACUUCGGUCUGGCGGCGAGUGGCGAACGGGUGAGUAAUACAUCGGAACGUACCCUGUUGUGGGGGAUAACUAGUCGAAAGAUUAGCUAAUACCGCAUACGACCUGAGGGUGAAAGUGGGGGACCGCAAGGCCUCACGCAGCAGGAGCGGCCGAUGUCUGAUUAGCUAGUUGGUGGGGUAAAGGCCCACCAAGGCGACGAUCAGUAGCUGGUCUGAGAGGACGAUCAGCCACACUGGGACUGAGACACAGCCCAGACUCCUACGGGAGGCAGCAGUGGGGAAUUUUGGACAAUGGGGGCAACCCUGAUCCAGCAAUGCCGCGUGUGUGAAGAAGGCCUUCGGGUUGUAAAGCACUUUUGUCCGGAAAGAAAUCGCGCUGGUUAAUACCUGGCGUGGAUGACGGUACCGGAAGAAUAAGCACCGGCUAACUACGUG
RNAcentral lists this ribosomal RNA (484 nucleotides) under uncultured bacterium. RNAcentral describes it as "partial 16S ribosomal RNA". It matches the Rfam family "Bacterial small subunit ribosomal RNA", at positions 30 to 507 of the family's 1533-position model. The record is from RNAcentral.